CAAGUCGAGCGAGCGGACGCAGAAGCUUGCUUCUCUGAUGUUAGCGGCGGACGGGUGAGUAACACGUGGAUAACCUACCUAUAAGACUGGGAUAACUUCGGGAAACCGGAGCUAAUACCGGAUAAUAUUUUGAACCGCAUGGUUCAAAAGUGAAAGACGGUCUUGCUGUCACUUAUAGAUGGAUCCGCGCUGCAUUAGCUAGUUGGUAAGGUAACGGCUUACCAAGGCAACGAUGCAUAGCCGACCUGAGAGGGUGAUCGGCCACACUGGAACUGAGACACGGUCCAGACUCCUACGGGAGGCAGCAGUAGGGAAUCUUCCGCAAUGGGCGAAAGCCUGACGGAGCAACGCCGCGUGAGUGAUGAAGGUCUUCGGAUCGUAAAACUCUGUUAUUAGGGAAGAACAUAUGUGUAAGUAACUGUGCACAUCUUGACGGUACCUAAUCAGAAAGCCACGGCUAACUACGUGCCAGCAGCCGCGGUAAUACGUAGGUGGCAAGCGUUAUCCGGAAUUAUUGGGCGUAAAGCGCGCGUAGGCGGUUUUUUAAGUCUGAUGUGAAAGCCCACGGCUCAACCGUGGAGGGUCAUUGGAAACUGGAAAACUUGAGUGCAGAAGAGGAAAGUGGAAUUCCAUGUGUAGCGGUGAAAUGCGCAGAGAUAUGGAGGAACACCAGUGGCGAAGGCGACUUUCUGGUCUGUAACUGACGCUGAUGUGCGAAAGCGUGGGGAUCAAACAGGAUUAGAUACCCUGGUAGUCCACGCCGUAAACGAUGAGUGCUAAGUGUUAGGGGGUUUCCGCCCCUUAGUGCUGCAGCUAACGCAUUAAGCACUCCGCCUGGGGAGUACGACCGCAAGGUUGAAACUCAAAGGAAUUGACGGGGACCCGCACAAGCGGUGGAGCAUGUGGUUUAAUUCGAAGCAACGCGAAGAACCUUACCAAAUCUUGACAUCCUUUGACAACUCUAGAGAUAGAGCCUUCCCCUUCGGGGGACAAAGUGACAGGUGGUGCAUGGUUGUCGUCAGCUCGUGUCGUGAGAUGUUGGGUUAAGUCCCGCAACGAGCGCAACCCUUAAGCUUAGUUGCCAUCAUUAAGUUGGGCACUCUAAGUUGACUGCCGGUGACAAACCGGAGGAAGGUGGGGAUGACGUCAAAUCAUCAUGCCCCUUAUGAUUUGGGCUACACACGUGCUACAAUGGACAAUACAAAGGGCAGCGAAACCGCGAGGUCAAGCAAAUCCCAUAAAGUUGUUCUCAGUUCGGAUUGUAGUCUGCAACUCGACUACAUGAAGCUGGAAUCGCUAGUAAUCGUAGAUCAGCAUG
This 1318-nucleotide ribosomal RNA is filed under the name Staphylococcus aureus. RNAcentral describes it as "bacterial SSU rRNA". It matches the Rfam family "Bacterial small subunit ribosomal RNA", at positions 58 to 1356 of the family's 1533-position model. Lineage: Bacteria; Bacillati; Bacillota; Bacilli; Caryophanales; Staphylococcaceae. The record is from RNAcentral.